GACGAACGCUGGCGGCGUGCUUCAUACAUGCAAGUCGAACGGAGCCCACCCCCGAUGGCAACAUCGGGAAAAGCUCAGUGGCGAACGGGUGCGUAACACGUGAGCAACCUACCCCGACGACCGGAAUAACAUCGGGAAACCGGUGCUAAUGCCGGAUGCCCCCACCGGCCCGCAUGGGCUGGUGAGGAAAGGAUCCCGCAUCGGGAGGGGCUCGCGGCCUAUCAGCUAGUUGGUGGGGUAACGGCCUACCAAGGCUUCGACGGGUAGCUGGUCUGAG
RNAcentral lists this ribosomal RNA (277 nucleotides) under uncultured bacterium. RNAcentral describes it as "partial 16S ribosomal RNA". It matches the Rfam family "Bacterial small subunit ribosomal RNA", at positions 28 to 296 of the family's 1533-position model. The record is from RNAcentral.